AUGCCCCGGAGGGGUGCCUCUCCCAGUCCAGGCCCUUGUGAGGGUGGCAGCGCCCCCAUCCCCGCCCCCAGUGAGAAGGCAGCGAGAGGCUGUCCCAGGAGGGGCGUCCUUGGAAAGGAGAGGGAGGGAGGCUGGAAGGACGGGCCCCUCGGCACAGACAGCCGCCUGCCCCCAGUGCUGGUCCUCACUGGCCAGGUAUCCUGGGACAAGGUGCUCGGGGUCGCCUCCCUGCUCAGCUUGGGCCCCGCUCUGCACCUGCUCGGCCACCCGGAUCGGGUGGUCAGUGUCCUGCCAUGCCUGCCUGAGACCCCGCCUGACAAGCCCGGGAGCUCCCAGCCCCACAGCGGGGCUGGCACUGGAGUGCAUCGCUCCCGGUGGCCGCACGGCCGAGGGGCAGCCAGGGUGGGCUCUGCGGGCACUGCGGCCGAGCUGACCCACUGUGCCGUGUCUCCUGCAGAGGGCGAAGUGAGUGCCGAGGAAGAAGGCUUCGAGAACCUCAACACCAUGGCCUCCACCUUCAUCGUCCUCUUCCUCCUGGGCCUCUUCUACAGCACCACGGUCACCCUGUUCAAGGUGGGCCACCUGGCCGUGGGGAGCGGGUGGCACACGACCCCCGGGGACCCCCACCCCCCACUCACGUGGUCUCUGUCGCCUGCAGGAGCGCGGGCCCUCACCCGCUGCCCAGCAGAUGGUGACGGAGCUCGGAAGCAGGCGCAGAAGUCUCGGGUGAAACAGCCGGGAGAGGCACAGAGGAAAGGCCCAGAAAGGGGGACAGCUGGCAGGAGUAUUUUUCAAGACCGCUUUGCAGGCACGGAGGAAUCGGGUGCCCAGUGGGAAGGGGAGGACAGGGACUCCGGGGAGGAGAGAGAGCAAGAGGCACAAAGGGACCUGACCCCGGGCCCAGCCCAGCUGUGCGGGAUUCCUGGACCAGGUGCCUUAGCCGAGACAAGGAGCCAGUCUCCCCCGACUCUCUUCCCCCUGGUCUCCUGCGUGAGCCCCCUGUCUGAUGAGAGCCCGGUGGCCCUGGGCUGCCUGGCCCGGGACUUCUUGCCCAGCUCCAUCAGCUUCUCCUGGAGCUACAGUAACAGCAGCGGGGUCAGCAGCCAGAACAUCCAGAGCUUCCCGGCCGUCUUGAGGGAGGGCAAGUACAUGGCCUCCUCCCAGGUGCUCCUGCCCUCUGCACGCAUCCCCCAGGGGACGGAAGAGUACCUGCUCUGCAGAGCCAAGUACCCCAACAGCGACAAGUCCAUGAAAGUGCCUGUCCCAGCAUCGAAGCAGACUCCAAACCUCUUGGUGUCCUCUGUGACGUCCCAGUCAGAGGGCUUCACCCUAACCACUCCAAGGAUUCCAGAUUGCCAGAACCACACCCAGCACCCCAGGGUCUACCUGCUGCACCCUCCCCUGCAGGGCCUGUGGCUCCAGGCUGAGGCCACUUUCACCUGCCUGGUGGUGGGAGGCAACCUGCAGGCCACCCGCUUGUCCUGGGAGGUGGCCGGGGAGCCCCAGAGCCGGGACACAGAGGAGGGGCCCACAGAGCACACCAACGGGUCCUGGAGCUGGACCAGCCGCCUGGCCCUGUCCAGGGCCUCGUGGGCCAGUGGGACGUCCGUCACCUGCACGCUGAGUGGUCCCGGCCUGCAGUCCCCGGUGACUCUGGCGGCACAGAGAGAACACGAGGCCUCGGCGCCCAGCAAGCCUGCCGUCCGCGUCCUGACCGUGCCCGGUCCACUGCCCUCUGCCGAGGCGGCCUCCUGGCUCCUGUGCGAGGUGUCCAACUUCUCACCGCUGGGCAUCCUCCUCGCCUGGCUGGAGGGCCAGCGAUGGGUGGACCCGUCUUGGUCCGCCACAGCGCCGGCCCAGCCUGGGAACUCCUCGUUCCGCACCUGGAGCGUCCUGCGCGUCCCCGCCUUCCCAGGCCGUGCGGCUGCCACCUACACCUGUGUGGUCAGGCACGAGGCCUCCCGGACGCUGCUCAAUGCCAGCUGGAACCUGGACACUGGACUUCUGCUGAGCGAGCAGUGGCUGGGAGCAGAGUGA
Mesoplodon densirostris (Blainville's beaked whale) is the source of this 2037-nucleotide non-coding RNA. The record is from the annotation of a RefSeq genome assembly. Lineage: Eukaryota; Metazoa; Chordata; Mammalia; Artiodactyla; Ziphiidae.